GACGAACGCUGGCGGCGUGCUUAACACAUGCAAGUCGAACGGAAAGGCCCUGCUUGCAGGGUGCUCGAGUGGCGAACGGGUGAGUAACACGUGGGUGAUCUGCCCCUUACUUUGGGAUAAGCCUGGGAAACUGGGUCUAAUACUGGAUAGGACCAUGCUGUAGGUGGUGUGGUGGAAAGAUUAGUUUCGGUAAGGGAUGAGCUCGCGGCCUAUCAGCUUGUUGGUGGGGUAAUGGCCUACCAAGGCGUCGACGGGUAGCCGGCCUGAGAGGGUGGACGGCCACAUUGGGACUGAGAUACGGCCCAGACUCCUACGGGAGGCAGCAGUGGGGAAUAUUGCACAAUGGGCGCAAGCCUGAUGCAGCGACGCCGCGUGGGGGAUGACGGCCUUCGGGUUGUAAACUCCUUUCAGUCAUGACGAAGCCCUUGUGGUGACGGUAGUGGUAGAAGAAGCACCGGCUAACUACGUG
Molecule: ribosomal RNA, 469 nt
Filed under: uncultured bacterium
Lineage: Bacteria
Description: partial 16S ribosomal RNA
Rfam family: Bacterial small subunit ribosomal RNA
Source: RNAcentral